RNAcentral lists this ribosomal RNA (467 nucleotides) under uncultured bacterium. Its description in RNAcentral is "partial 16S ribosomal RNA". It matches the Rfam family "Bacterial small subunit ribosomal RNA", at positions 28 to 507 of the family's 1533-position model. The record is from RNAcentral.
GAUGAACGCUGGCGGCGUGCUUAACACAUGCAAGUCGAACGGAAAGGCUUCUGCUUGCAGGGGUACUCGAGUGGCGAACGGGUGAGUAACACGUGGGUGAUCUGCCCUGCACUUCGGGAUAAGCCUGGGAAACUGGGUCUAAUACCGGAUAGGACAAUGGUUUGGAUGCUGUUGUGGAAAGUUUUUCGGUGUGGGAUGAGCUCGCGGCCUAUCAGCUUGUUGGUGGGGUAAUGGCCUACCAAGGCGUCGACGGGUAGCCGGCCUGAGAGGGUGUACGGCCACAUUGGGACUGAGAUACGGCCCAGACUCCUACGGGAGGCAGCAGUGGGGAAUAUUGCACAAUGGGCGCAAGCCUGAUGCAGCGACGCCGCGUGGGGGAUGACGGCCUUCGGGUUGUAAACUCCUUUCGCUAGGGACGAAGCGUUUUUGUGACGGUACCUGGAGAAGAAGCACCGGCUAACUACGUG